This 253-nucleotide ribosomal RNA is filed under the name uncultured bacterium. RNAcentral describes it as "partial 16S ribosomal RNA". It matches the Rfam family "Bacterial small subunit ribosomal RNA", at positions 524 to 776 of the family's 1533-position model. The record is from RNAcentral.
UACGUAGGGUGCGAGCGUUGUCCGGAAUUACUGGGCGUAAAGCGCUCGUAGGUGGUUUGUCGCGUUGUUCGUGAAAACCGGGGGCUUAACCUUCGGCGUGCGGGCGAUACGGGCAGACUGGAGUACUGCAGGGGAGACUGGAAUUCCUGGUGUAGCGGUGGAAUGCGCAGAUAUCAGGAGGAACACCGGUGGCGAAGGCGGGGCGCGGGGCCGAUACUGACGCUGAGGAGCGAAAGCGUGGGGAGCAAACAGG